AGUGUGCAAUUUGUUCUUUAGAGGAUGUGACUGCAAUAAAGCCUGGAAAGGUGAAAGUCUGUGGAUAUGCAGCAUCAGGAGGUGGCCGUGGAAUUGAGAGAGUAGAUGCGUCUGUUGAUGGCGGCAAAACCUGGGUGGAAGCAUCCAAACAGCAGAAGACUGGAGUCCCUUAUAUAGCAGAUGACAUGAGCAGUGACAAAUGGGCAUGGGUGCUGUAUGAAGUCACAGUUGAUGUGCCACACAGCACAGAGAUUGUUGCAAAAGCAGUGG
This 270-nucleotide unclassified non-coding RNA is filed under the name Hevea brasiliensis (rubber tree). Lineage: Eukaryota; Viridiplantae; Streptophyta; Magnoliopsida; Malpighiales; Euphorbiaceae. The record is from RNAcentral.